AUACGGAGGACGCGAGCGUUAUCCGGAUUCAUUGGGUUUAAAGGGUGCGCAGGCGGCCGUGCAAGUCAGCGGUGAAAGCCCGGGGCUCAACCCCGGAAGUGCCGUUGAUACUGCAUGGCUGGAAUGCGGUCGAGGCGGGCGGGAAGUGGGGUGUGGCGGGGGAAUGCGAAGAUAUGGCCCAGAAAGCCGAUAGCGGAGGCAGCUCGCCAGGCCUUCAUUGUCGCUCGGGCACGAAAGCGUGGGGAUCGAACAGGAUUAGAUCCCCUGGUAGUCCACGCCGUAAACGAUGGGCGCUCGUCGUCGGCGGCAGACAGUCGGCGGCCAAGCGAAAGCGAUAAGCGCCCCACCUGGGGAGUACGGUCGCAAGGCUGAAACUUAAAGGAAUUGACGGGG
Molecule: ribosomal RNA, 393 nt
Filed under: uncultured bacterium
Lineage: Bacteria
Description: partial 16S ribosomal RNA
Rfam family: Bacterial small subunit ribosomal RNA
Source: RNAcentral